Ctenopharyngodon idella (grass carp) is the source of this 1064-nucleotide long non-coding RNA. RefSeq lists it as uncharacterized. The record is from RefSeq and is a predicted model, not a curated record. The transcript has 3 exons. Lineage: Eukaryota; Metazoa; Chordata; Actinopteri; Cypriniformes; Xenocyprididae.
CAUACAGGUAUCUUGUUCAUUAUAAAUAUCCUCUUUAUGUUUGUUAUGUAAAAUGUACCGUAAACGUAAGAUGAUGAGUUUAGUUAAUGAAUUUAAUUAAUAUAUGAACUGCAGUAACAUUGAGUUAGACUUUCUUUAAUCCAGUGAUUUCAAUAAGAAGCUAAAGGCUAAACCUCUGACCCACAGCAGGUUUGCAGGUGAAGCUCUACUCUUCACUAGUUUAAAUACUCAAUUAGAUCCAGGUGAAAGAAAACUGUUUAACAAAAACAUGCAUAAAAAUAUAGAACAGAGAUGGUAUUUUUCUUAGACUGGAAUAUUUAACUGGACGAUAAAUGGACAGACGUCAGGAGUCAGAGAUUGACAAAUGAAAACAUCACGUCUGAAAGAAAUAGACGGAGAAGAGAACAAGAAUAUCAUCAUGUACAGCAGAGACGACAGAGUGACUGUGGCCAACAAAUCUGCUCUCAGGAGAAAAGGGAGUAAUACAGGAGAACAUCCUAACAUUAGCGAUGUGAGGAUUGUUCUGCUGGGGAAGAACGUGUCAGAAAACAGCCGAGUGGGAAACUUCCUAUUGGGACGUGAAGCGUUUGACAGUGAAGCUCGUCCAGAUGUUGUAGAGAGAGUCGGAGGAAGAUUAAAGGACAGACACGUGACCGUCAUCAACAGUCCUCAGCUGCUCCAGACACAUCUGUCACUCCAUCACAUCAUACAGACAGUGAGAGAGUGUGUGUAUCUGUCUGAUCCAGGACCUCAUGUGAUUGUUUUGCUCCUCAAACAUGAGGAGUGUUCAGCAGAAGAUCAAGAGUGUGUGGAGAAGGUGCUGGACUCUUUCUCUGAGCGCGCUUAUCAACACACCAUGGUGCUCACCACACAAGAGCCCACUGAAACCAAUGACAUCCUACAGAAAAUCAUUCCGAAAUGCUUCAGCAGACACUUCAGUCUUCAGAGAAGCAGCUCUCCUGAUGAUCUUCUGCAGGCGUUUGAGGACAUUGUGAAAAUUAAUGAUGGACGUCACCUGGUUUGUGCUGAAUAUGAAGCUUCACAGUAUUUCACAAUGAAGCAAC